This 380-nucleotide ribosomal RNA is filed under the name uncultured cyanobacterium. Its description in RNAcentral is "bacterial SSU rRNA". It matches the Rfam family "Bacterial small subunit ribosomal RNA", at positions 376 to 770 of the family's 1533-position model. The record is from RNAcentral. Lineage: Bacteria; Bacillati; Cyanobacteriota.
CGCAAGCCUGACGGAGCAAGACCGCGUGGGGGAGGAAUGCCUUAGGGUUGUAAACCCCUUUUAUCUGGGAAGAACAAAAUGACGGUACCAGAUGAAUAAGCCUCGGCUAACUCCGUGCCAGCAGCCGCGGUAAUACGGAGGAGGCAAGCGUUAUCCGGAUUUAUUGGGCGUAAAGAGUCCGUAGGUGGCUAAUCAAGUCCGAAGUUAAAGACAGAAGCUAAACUUCUGGAAAGCAGCGGAAACUGAAGAGCUAGAGUGUAGGAGAGGUAGAGGGAAUUCCCAGUGUAGCGGUGAAAUGCGUAGAGAUUGGGAAGAACACCAGUGGCGAAGGCGCUCUACUGGACUAAAACUGACACUGAGGGACGAAAGCUAGGGGAGCG